GAUGAAGAACGCAGCGAAAUGCGAUAAGUAAUGUGAAUUGCAGAAUUCAGUGAAUCAUCGAAUCUUUGAACGCACCUUGCGCCUUUUGGUAUUCCGAAAGGCACACCUGUUUGAGCGUCAUGAAUACCUCAAUCUCCAUCUUUUCUUCGGAUUGAUGGGUGACUUGGAUGUUGAGCCCUGCUGGUAUGCUAUAUCAGCUGGCUUUAAACUUAUUAGCCGGCUCUGUACUGGAUCGGUUUGACUCGACGUGAUAAUAUUAUCGUUGAGGAUGCAUGUCUCAUGCAGCCCGGAAGUAUCAAAGCAGCUUCUAGCUUGCCUUUAGUGCACUUUUACAUUUUAGACCUCAGAUCAGGUGGGACUACCCGCUGAACUUAAGCAUAUCAAUAAGCGGAGGA
Molecule: unclassified non-coding RNA, 395 nt
Filed under: soil metagenome
Description: partial contains 5.8S ribosomal RNA, internal transcribed spacer 2, and large subunit ribosomal RNA
Rfam family: 5.8S ribosomal RNA (bases 1-120)
Source: RNAcentral